Molecule: unclassified non-coding RNA, 318 nt
Filed under: Hevea brasiliensis (rubber tree)
Lineage: Eukaryota; Viridiplantae; Streptophyta; Magnoliopsida; Malpighiales; Euphorbiaceae
Source: RNAcentral
GCCAAAUUACAACUACGUCAUAUCAAGUAUGCAAUUGUGCUUAGACUCGCGUGGAUGCAGCAGUGCCAAGGUCAUACCAGCAAGGCUGGAGCUAAGCUAAUACUAUGAGAAGGAGUUGAUCGGUUGGAAUAACAUGCAACAUUGAGUUUGGCAAUGUCUGUCACACUGCUCUAAGGCAGUAUCUGAUGUGUUGAUGAUCUUCUUACUGGACAGAGUACUUCUCAAGUCGCGAAUAUGGUGGAUUCUGACGAACCAAUUUUGAAAGCCUGAGAAGGAUGAGGGAGUGUAAAUAGCAGUUAGUUUGUAUCAAAAAAUGAU